Molecule: non-coding RNA, 31 nt
Filed under: Rattus norvegicus (Norway rat)
Lineage: Eukaryota; Metazoa; Chordata; Mammalia; Rodentia; Muridae
Source: RNAcentral
UGUGUUAUUUGAUUAACGCGGUGUUUUAGGU